CUAGUACGGCAAAAUUUUCUCCAUCCAGAUGCAGAAGCUAUCCUCAAUAUCCCGUUGAGUGCACAUGGUGGGGAAGACAGCCUCGCUUGGGCUCUAGAAAAAUCGGGCAACUACACUGUUAAAUCGGCAUAUCGUUCUCUCGUGACUCGAAAUGAGCUUCGUGCUUAUGAGGAAGGGGCGAUUACAGAAUCUUCAUCGGCAAAUAAACAGUUGUGGACUGCCUUAUGGAAAUUGCAUGUCGUGCCGAAAGUAUGAGUCUUUUGGUGGAGGGUUCUUCGUGGCAUCCUACCGGAGUCGAUGACUUUGAAGUACAGACAUGUUAAACCUAUUGGUAUAUGCGGUAUAUGCUAA
RNAcentral lists this ribosomal RNA (351 nucleotides) under Triticum aestivum (bread wheat). RNAcentral's name for it is "partial small subunit ribosomal RNA". The record is from RNAcentral. Lineage: Eukaryota; Viridiplantae; Streptophyta; Magnoliopsida; Poales; Poaceae.